ACGCUGGCGGCAGGCCUAACACAUGCAAGUCGAGCGGUAGAGAGAAGCUUGCUUCUCUUGAGAGCGGCGGACGGGUGAGUAAUGCCUAGGAAUCUGCCUGGUAGUGGGGGAUAACGUCCGGAAACGGACGCUAAUACCGCAUACGUCCUACGGGAGAAAGCAGGGGACCUUCGGGCCCUGCGCUAUCAGAUGAGCCUAGGUCGGAUUAGCUAGUUGGUGGGGUAAUGGCUCACCAAGGCGACGAUCCGUAACUGGUCUGAGAGGAUGAUCAGUCACACUGGAACUGAGACACGGUCCAGACUCCUACGGGAGGCAGCAGUGGGGAAUAUUGGACAAUGGGCGAAAGCCUGAUCCAGCCAUGCCGCGUGUGUGAAGAAGGUCUUCGGAUUGUAAAGCACUUUAAGUUGGGAGGAAGGGCAGUAAAUUAAUACUUUGCUGUUUUGACGUUACCGACAGGAUAAGCACCGGCUAACUCUGUGCCAGCAGCCGCGGUAAUACAGAGGGUGCAAGCGUUAAUCGGAAUUACUGGGCGUAAAGCGCGCGUAGGUGGUUUGUUAAGUUGGAUGUGAAAUCCCCGGGCUCAACCUGGGAACUGCAUUCAAAACUGACUGACUAGAGUAUGGUAGAGGGUGGUGGAAUUUCCUGUGUAGCGGUGAAAUGCGUAGAUAUAGGAAGGAACACCAGUGGCGAAGGCGACCACCUGGACUGAUACUGACACUGAGGUGCGAAAGCGUGGGGAGCAAAC
This 745-nucleotide ribosomal RNA is filed under the name uncultured bacterium. Its description in RNAcentral is "bacterial SSU rRNA". It matches the Rfam family "Bacterial small subunit ribosomal RNA", at positions 33 to 773 of the family's 1533-position model. The record is from RNAcentral.